This is a long non-coding RNA of Acinonyx jubatus (cheetah), 2579 nucleotides long. RefSeq lists it as uncharacterized. The transcript is spliced from 4 exons. Lineage: Eukaryota; Metazoa; Chordata; Mammalia; Carnivora; Felidae. The record is from RefSeq and is a predicted model, not a curated record.
CCUUACUGGAAGCAGGAAUGUCCACAGAGGAGAGAGAGGUAGAGAAAGAAGGAAAAAUAAGUAAACACUUAGUAAACGGAUAAACAAAUACGAGUUCUCUAAAAGUCUUACCUUAUCUUCACACGUUUUAAUGUAGUGAAGAGAUUAGUUUAAAAUUGGCUUCAAAAAUUAGUUUCCUUAUAACAAAAUAAAAUUGUGAGUAGACUAUGAGAGUAUAUACAUUUUUAUUGUGAUGUUCAAAAUUAGGAUGUUAACAACCUGCCUUCGUUUUAAAACGUACGCCAACUUUAUUUAGAUUUUCAAACACAUUGCACACUCUUACCAAAGCCUAUCAUCUUUACAAAGCUCCUUUAUGUUCUUUUGUCACAAAAUGGGAUAUGUGUAAAUACUAACAAAAAUCCGCCCUCAGUCUCAUAGAAAUCUUUAAAUUAACGAGUCUCAGAUUUGUCUGCAGACUAAAAUCAAGCAGAGGUCUUUUAAAAAUUUAAAUCCCCAGACCCCACACCAAUUAAAUCCCAUCUGUCAGGAUGGGAAGAGACAGCAGGAUUUUGGGAGUCAUUCCAAAUGUGCAGAAUAGUUGGGGAACCACAGAUUUAACUGAUGAACUAGAGACACAGUAGAAGUUCUAUUUCUAUUUCUACUAGAACUCUGGAUUAUUUGAGCAGAACACCAAUGGAAUGUAAAAUUCUGUAAGUGGGUAACCAUCGCUGACUAGUAUCAUCAAAACAAAAAAAAAAGUGAAUCUUUGAUGCCAUAGCAAAUUUCCUCAAAUGCUGUGUCCAUGAAACUUACGACAGAUAAAGUGACGCUAUGUGAUGGGUGACAAAUAAGUUUUCAUUCUACUUCUAGGAGAAUCUGCUGUCAGGAUAAAACCAGAUUCUUCCAGUGAAUGCAAAUCUAAAGAGCUUCCUUUCCUGUCUUUCUGUUGCCGUGAAGAGGAUCCAACAGAAUGGUCACCUACAUUGUAACCACACCCUUGUAAGAGGCAUGUAACAAAUAAUUCUGAGAGUCAUAUUAAUAGCAGGGAAACAAGAUGUCUGCCAAUAUUCUCACAGGAAGCUAGUGGUGAAAGACGGAAUAGAAGCCAGGCUUUCAGGGCACUGGCUAGGCAUUCUGUGUGGUCUCCCACACUGUUUCUCUUUUGAACUUUUCAAUUCCAAAGCAAAAAUACCAUAGCUAUAAUGCCACCAAGGACGUUGGCAUUAUACAACAACAGACAGUCCCUUUGGUCCUUUUCUGACCCUACCUAAACAACCACCGUCUCACAGGGUGUGGUGGGUUUCAUGAGGACGUAAUAAAGUAACACUGGUAAUAAUCCCCCCUAAGUUUUGUGACUGAGCCCGUGUUGUCUUGAAUGACACAUACCAUGGCCAUCAUCCAGGAAUUCUGUGAUGGUGGCUGAAGUGCACUUGGACCAGGGUUUGGACGCGUCGAUGCUGGUUAGGAUGGAAGACAUUAAGCGCUUAUCUUCUGUGGAACCAAAGUUCUCUUCACAGAAUUUGGAAUCAUCAUGGGAGAGGCCAAGUAGAUGUCCUAAGGGAGAGAAGAGCGGGAGCACAGAUAAUGAGUGAUUUUGCAUUUCAACUUUUCCGUGACAAUUAUACUAGCACUUGGUCUCCCUCCCCUGCCCCCAACUGUACAUGAGUUCAUUUUAACUGCUUUCUCAUGCACAGACUGGACCCCCAGGGAAAUUAAAGCUGUGUGUAGUCAGAGCAGUCACUUUUGGUGAACAUUUAGAGGAAAACUGAAAAAUUACACAAAGGAAUAGACGGUCCCAUAAUCCAUCUGGAUCACACAUGCUCAACGACAUGUAGAAACAGGCCUUAUUUAGAAUCUAGAAUUCGCAAGGCAACUGUGGGAUUAUGUCAUAGCCCUGACUACAUGUUAUUUUGAUUACUUGUCUAAUUUUCCGCCUUCUCUGAUCAACCAGGAGCCCCAUGAGAUCAGAGAACAUCUCCUCCAUCCACUGUUGAAACCUCUGUAUUUAACUCAAUGUUCUGCAAGUUGCAAACACUUAAUAGACGGUUGUUGAAUGUCAGUGACUUCUAUUUUCUUGGCCAAGUUACCAGGUAGCUAUCCAAGAGACAACAAGGAGGGGAAAGAAAGAGGAGUGAAAUUAGUAACGCUCUGGUUCCCAACAAAGCUGGGAUUAUUGAGGUGUAAGAAGAUCUUGCCAGGGGUUGAAAAGUGAGCCAACAGCUCACGUGGGAUCCAAAUCCAGAAUCCUUGAAGAAGAGAACCAGGAGCUCCAGGAAGUGGAUCCUACAUGUCUAUUCAAAUGCAAAGCCUUAUGCAGAAGGAAUAAAACCCUUACAAACUCCCAUUUCAAAACGUUAAGCAUGAAUGCUGUUACAAGUGUUUGAUUUGGCGAGGGAAGAGAAAAGGCACUGCAUACCAAUUUCGUGAGCCACGGUGAAAGCCGCAUGGAGGCCAUCAUCUUCAAUCACAGCACAGCUGCGCUCCGGGGAACAUAUGGUCCCAACGUCUGCCAUUCCCAGGGUGUCACAUGAAUGAUGCCCACAUAAAUCCUGCCGGGGAGAAAGAAAGAAAUCAUUAAAAUCAAUUUACAUCCAGAAGGA